GUCUUUCACUUAGAUCUGUGAGAGUCUUUCUGGGAAAAUAAAAGCAAGUGUUACACAUAAGAAUUGGAGGCAAAAAGAUGUGGACUUGGAGAAGUCUGGAGCCCGCUUGCCCCCCGCAGGCUCAAGAUGAUCCUUUCACACACAC
Molecule: small nucleolar RNA, 145 nt
Filed under: Dasypus novemcinctus (nine-banded armadillo)
Lineage: Eukaryota; Metazoa; Chordata; Mammalia; Cingulata; Dasypodidae
Description: Small nucleolar RNA SNORA38 (ENSDNOG00000032578.1)
Rfam family: Small nucleolar RNA SNORA38
About the family: ACA38 is a member of the H/ACA class of snoRNA that guide the sites of modification of uridines to pseudouridines.
Source: RNAcentral